AGUGGCGAACGGGUGAGUAACGCGUGAGUAUCUGCCCUUAGGAGGGGGACAACAGUUGGAAACGACUGCUAAUACCCCAUAUGUCUACGGAUGAAAGAUUUUAUCGCCUGAGGAUGAACUCGCGUCUGAUUAGCUAUUUGGUGAGGUAAUGGCUCACCAAGGCAACGAUCAGUAGCUGGUCUGAGAGGAUGAUCAGCCACACUGGGACUGAGACACGGCCCAGACUCCUACGGGAGGCAGCAGUGGGGAAUUUUCCGCAAUGGGGGCAACCCUGACGGAGCAAUACCGCGUGCGGGAGGACGGCCUGUGGGUUGUAAACCGCUUUUCUCAGGGAAGAAGACCUGACGGUACCUGAGGAAUCAGCAUCGGCUAACUCCGUGCCAGCAGCCGCGGUAAUACGGAGGAUGCAAGCGUUAUCCGGAAUUAUUGGGCGUAAAGCGUCCGUAGGUGGUUAAUCAAGUCUGCUGUUAAAGAGCGGAGCUUAACUCCGUUUAAGCGGUGGAAACUGGUUGACUAGAGAGUGGUAGGGGUAGAGGGAAUUCCCAGUGUAGCGGUGAAAUGCGUAGAUAUUGGGAAGAACACCGGUGGCGAAAGCGCUCUACUGGGCCACAUCUGACACUGAUGGACGAAAGCUAGGGGAGCGAAAGGGAUUAGAUACCCC
RNAcentral lists this ribosomal RNA (661 nucleotides) under uncultured bacterium. Its description in RNAcentral is "bacterial SSU rRNA". It matches the Rfam family "Bacterial small subunit ribosomal RNA", at positions 94 to 788 of the family's 1533-position model. The record is from RNAcentral.